RNAcentral lists this long non-coding RNA (1252 nucleotides) under Capsicum annuum. RNAcentral describes it as "long non-coding RNA (CANN_LNC012088)". The record is from RNAcentral. Lineage: Eukaryota; Viridiplantae; Streptophyta; Magnoliopsida; Solanales; Solanaceae.
ACUCAUCAUUUGUGGCUCCCUACCAAUAAAAUAUAGGCUGUGAAAUGGUACAGCAAAACAAAAAUAAAAGAAGAAACAUCUUUGCUAGUUUAGCAGAAAAAUAGCUCUCCGCGAUGAACAUGCACUUUAUUGACAUUCCACAAGCUGUACUUCCUGAAUCCUGAUACUGUAUUUCAAGCAGUUGUUAGAAUUCCUUAUGAUAUGCAACUUGAAACAGGUUCUUGCUAAUGGUAAAAAACCGGGGUUAAACGUGCGGGGGUGGGGGGGGGUGCUGUUCUUAGUUUACCGGAGGGGUAUGAAUUAGCUCCGCUAAUUUCUUCGAGACAUUUAUAUAUAUAGGCAGCAACAAAGAUCAUAUACAUUAUGUUAGUGGCGGAGUCAGACUUUUGGUUAAGGGUGUUCGUAUUUUUUCUUGGGCAAAGAACUAUUUAAAAAACAAAGAAAAUAAAGCACAGCUGCACCUGCCAAGGUUCAAACCCGGGUUAUUGAUGCGUAAAUGCACACUCUUGACCACUAGACUAUGCUUCUCUAGCUUGUCAAGGGUGUGCAACAUCUAUAUAACCAUAAAUAUCUAUAUUUAACCUAUAUACUCGAAAAAAAUUUCCGAUGAAGGUGUUCAUCUGACCACCCUUCGUUGGCUGUGGCUCCGCCACUGCAUUAUGUGGAGAGACAACUUUUAUGGUAUCUCUCUUGUUCCAUCUUUCUAUCAACAGAAGAUGAAACAGUAGUUGGUACAUAAUCUUCUUCCUCAAUAAUGGUGUCCAAACUUCUUCUUGGUGGACCCUUUACCAUAGAGACAAGCCUUGAUGGAGCAACUUCUGUUGAGUACCUCAUUUUAGGAGCCUUAGCCAUUGUUGUGUUGGAACUUCCUGUCGAAAAACUAGAGAGAAACAUAAAGACUGUUCAGGUUGAAGCUGAGAAGAAAAAUCCCAAAUGUGGUUUAUUUAUACCUUGGUGGACAGAGUUAGGGUUAGGUAUCUCGUGGCAUUAGUCGAGGUGCAGAAAGCUGAUGCAGACAUCACGGUUAUCAAGAAUAACGUGUCAUGUUCAAUGUGCUGUUGCUUGGAUCUAAAAUCUAAAUCAUCAACUUGUACAGCCGCCCCACAUUUGUGUAUAAAAGUGCAGGAAGAUGUCAACUUCAGUAUGGGAGUAGACAAAUAAUUGGAAGUUCUUGAAUGUCUAUUAUAGAAGGGGUCCAAAAAUCUUUGAAAGGAUUUUCUCACAGCACCCCUCCAAACUUGGUCAAUUUCCC